This is a long non-coding RNA of Ostrinia furnacalis (Asian corn borer), 109 nucleotides long. RefSeq lists it as uncharacterized. The record is from RefSeq and is a predicted model, not a curated record. The transcript has 2 exons. NCBI's taxonomy places the organism in Eukaryota, Metazoa, Arthropoda, Insecta, Lepidoptera, Crambidae.
UCCAUUAGAACUAAAACUCAACAUCAUAUUAACAUCAGGAACAUAAUUGUGGAACGACUAACUCCAUUAGAGGUUACUGCAAAUGACUACAUCUGUGGGGCUUGUCACU